AGAGGCUGGGAACACCAAGGGCAUGGCAGCAGCAUCUGGUGGGGUUCUGUGCUACAUUACCCCAUGGUGGAAGGGCAGAGGGCAGAGGGCAGAAGAGGAAAGGCAGAAGAGAAAGACAGCAUGGGAGACAGCAAGAAAAUGGAGGCCAAAACUUAUCCUUUUAUCAGGAAUCCACUCCCACAGGGUGAGGAGAUUAUCAAUAUGCUGGGAGCUCAGCUGGGCAUGCAUUUCUGGAUCCUCACUCAGGGAGAAAAACUCACCGACUGUGCGAUUGGCAGCAGCUACAAACCAGCACAGUCUGCAGGUCACAGUGACAAGUUUCAAAUAGAAACCUGGCAUCCAAAAAUAUACAGCUUUGGCCACGAAAGCAUGGGGUUAUUCCAAAGUAUUCUGAGGCUAGUCUUGCUGGCGCCCACAGUGGCCUAUUCUGAGGCAUGUUUUAAAUAAGAGUCCUGGCAGCAGGCCUCCAAGCUUCAGAAAUAUAAGCUGGUUCCUCUCAUCAGUCACUGACUGUCUCUCCGAAUGUUGUCGAAUCUGGAUGUUCUCAGCAGUUCAAUUGUUCUUCACAUUGUCCUUUGUGCGAGCCAAGGAACUGAACUUUCUAAGUAAAGAUUUAAAAAGCAUCCUUGCAAUGAAGGUAGAAGGUCUACUGGCUGGGUUGAGCCUCUCUGCUGUCUUCAAUGGCAUCUGGAACUCAAAAGGCACCUGGAAGCAUUUUCCACCUUCCAUACAUGGGUGCCAGUGUUCAGGCCUGUGCCAGGGUCCCAGGGUCAGGGUCGCCAGGCUCUGCCUUCUCCUGGGAUAACUGUUGGCUCCACCCACGAUACUAUCAGUGCAGUGUUCCUGAGCAAACGUUCAAUGGGCAGCAUGCAGAAGCCACUUUUGGAAUUCCCCCAUAUGUCUUUUCUUUCCAUCUAGCUUCAGAAAUAUAUGUAAACAUGUGGAAACCUUGCUUAAAA
This is a long non-coding RNA of Homo sapiens (human), 959 nucleotides long. Ensembl annotates it as long intergenic non-protein coding RNA 2250. Lineage: Eukaryota; Metazoa; Chordata; Mammalia; Primates; Hominidae. The record is from Ensembl.